This 22-nucleotide non-coding RNA is filed under the name Arabidopsis thaliana (thale cress). The record is from RNAcentral. Lineage: Eukaryota; Viridiplantae; Streptophyta; Magnoliopsida; Brassicales; Brassicaceae.
GACACUUUGGCCGAGUGGUUAA